Bombina bombina (fire-bellied toad) is the source of this 694-nucleotide non-coding RNA. The record is from the annotation of a RefSeq genome assembly. Lineage: Eukaryota; Metazoa; Chordata; Amphibia; Anura; Bombinatoridae.
UUUAUUCCUCUCUCAGGCUGUUUGCUGUUAUAUUUAGGUGUUGCACAUGACAGAUAUUUUCACAUAAAAUGAGCCUCCUGCAGACCCUGUUAUGCUGCAUCUCACUGGGCAUCUCAUAUGCUCAAUCACAGACACCGGUGCUGACACCUCAGGGUGGGUCAGUUAAUCCUGGGCAAAGUUUUACAUUUAACUGCAAUGUAGGAGUUAAGGAUGGUUGGGCCAUGUAUUUCUUUAAACAAUCACCUGCAGAGCCUCCUAAACUUAUUUUUUACCAUCAUCACUCAUACACAGCACCCAGAUAUGGACCUGGGAUGUCAUCAGCUCAUUUCACUGGCACAAUAAACAGCGCUGGAACUGAAUAUCAGCUGAUUAUUAAAGAUACACAGAUUGCAGACACAUCUGUCUAUUUCUGUCUUAAAGCUUAUCAAAGUACUGGUGCAUAUCACAGUGAUAUAGAGCCUGACAAAAACUUUGAAACUGCUGAUUAUAAAACAAGAAGUGAAAUUUGGAAAUAUCAAGUAGCAAAAGCAACAUAAAGACAAUAAAGAUUAACAACACAAUGUAUUUGUCAUAAUCUAAUGAAUGAUCCCUGUUACUAUGAUUCUAUUAACAGUACAAACACAGAGAUUACAGAGAGGAAUAUGCUGUAUAUUCAUUAUUUAAGCAAAUAAACUGGAUAUGAAGAUAUUAAGAA